Molecule: long non-coding RNA, 3110 nt
Organism: Zingiber officinale
Lineage: Eukaryota; Viridiplantae; Streptophyta; Magnoliopsida; Zingiberales; Zingiberaceae
Exons: 8
Source: RefSeq, a predicted model, not a curated record
UCGCGCAGUCCACCCCCUUCCUAGAUCGACGCCCCUUCCUCUCCCGAUUUAGAUCAACACACAACGCCCUUGCUUCUCCACGAUCGAGUCUCUAUUUCUUUGCAGGCAUCUCGGCUCCGGACAUGAAGAACGCUCGCUUCAUCCCAUCGUUGACGAGACUCCGCCUCUGCCUCCUUCCAGGUACGCAGUUGUCUUGCUUCCCUCGGCAUCAUCUCUGACCCCCUAACAAUCGGGCCACCGUCGCUUCGCUACUAGCUUUGGCUCCCCUCUCGAAGCCCUUCCGCAAGCGUCGCCGCCUUUGCUGCGCCGUCCUCAAAGACGACGCCCCUCCGGAGGAGAUGCCGCAGCAAAGUCCAGGUGAGGGAGUCGGCGCAGCUAUUGAAGAAAGGCCUAGUGCAUUCUCUACUUCUCCUUCAUCUUCCAGAUAAUUCGAAGUUUAGUUUCGAUUCCCAAAUCGGCAUAGUCUUAUCCUCCUGUUUAAGUUAAUUAGUUGGUUUGUUAAUAAUGUCACCAUUGAGCAACAUUAUUAUUGCAAUUUAUCUGUGUUCGAGUUUUUGGAUGAAGUUGCCCUAAAUCACCCUUUCUAAUGUCUGGAUGCAAGGUUGCUGAUGGAUAUGGUAAUAUGUUGGUAUGUGAUUGCCUGGACUAUUUUUUUCAUAAUAAUUUUUUAUAUAUUUUUUAUGAGUAGAAAUCUUUUCUAGAGCUUAAAUUUAACUUCUUGUAAGAAAGUAAUUUGAACUUCAAUUUGAGUAUGCGAAUCUUUAUCUGCUAUACAAGAAACUCUGUUCAGUCUAUUUUCAAUAUUUUAAUAAUUUUUGUUUUCAUUCAGGUAACUGUAGUUGGGAUAAAUACUGAAUGGGGUUUGUUGAUGGCUAGUAUUUCAGAGGAUACUGGUGGAGAAACUCCACUACAGUUUUUUUCUGAAUUGUGAAUUCUAUUUUAUGCCCCGUGCAAAUUUUGCUAUCAAGCCUACUUUUUUUUCUUGCUUUCUGUUAUAGGUACGCUUGAAUGUUGUUGCUACCUUCAUUGGUAUAGUAGGGCUGACUAUAGCUGUUGGUGUUCUAGUAGUCCUGCUGGUUUGAUACUUUACUGGACAUACAAAGAACCCGGAUGGAUUUGUUCAAUUCAUAAAGGGAUAGACAGGUAUAAAAUGUCCUGGAUAGCAUGAAUUAAGGGGCUACCAGUAAGCUGUUUCUUGGAUAGCUACAUGUUGCUUGAGGUUGCCUAUUUGAGUUGGUGAUUACUAGCUGAGAAUGGUUCUUUAUAGUAAUAAUGUCCUGAAGGAUUUGAAUUAUUUGAGGGGCAAAUUUGAGUUACACCAUUGAGGAUAGUCAGAAUGGCUGAUGGUUCCUGUGUUGUUUUUUGCUUUAUUGCUUAUGUACUGUUUGCUAGAUUCUUCAUCAGAUCGAGAUAGGCGACGAAGAUGAAGAAUCUGAAAGCUCAGAUUCAGAAAGUAAUGAUGAUUUGGAAUUGUCAAAAGUCACUAAAAUGAGACUUCUUCCUUCAUAUGCUGGAAAGUGUAUCCUUGCUAUCAUGCAUGCCUCAUAUUGUUAGUGCAUUUUAACAUUGUAAUGGGUGUUUUGAAACUUCACAGGUUCUUUCUUGUUUUUACAGAUGACAACACCAAUAUCAAUUGAAGACGUUCGUAGAGAGGUCAAAAUCCUCAAAGACUUGUCCAACCAUAAUAAUCUUGUCAAAUUUUAUGAUGCAUGUGAGGAUGCACUUAACGUCUACGUAGUCAUGGAAUUAUGUGAAGGUGGAGAAUUAUUAGAAAGAAUUUUAUCCAAAGGUGGAAGGUACUCAGAGGAGGAUGCAAAAGCUAUAGUUAUUCAAAUACUGAGUGUAAUCGCCUUUUGUCAUCUUCAAGGUGUUGUGCAUCAUGAUUUAAAGCCAGAGGCCCUAUUGCAAAAUGCAACCGAAAGUUGGAGAGCAAUUUGUAGAGUUUUUGCCGCAUUGAUUAGAGAAGGGAUUUGCCUGGAUCAUCGGCGUUUGUUGGAUCUGCGCUGAGCUGGAUUUGGUUCCGUGGUAAUUAGGGCGAAUUGUGGCUCUUGCUUUGGCCACUCCUGGGUUCUUGUCCUCUUGGAAGUUCGGUUGAGUUGCUGCUUUCUUGACGAGACCUGGGAUUGUUUCCGUGGAAUUUCCUUUGCGUAAGGAUUUUAUUGAGAGAUCUAAUAGAAAAAUUCAUUUUUUUUGUCUGUUCUUUUUCCUUUUUUUGUCAUGUUGGAUUUGCUAUGGUAGGAAUUUCAUUUGGGGGAUAACGUCGUGGUCUUAUUGAUGCCGGUAAGAACAAUGGUGAUGAUUAACUCUAUAGAUCUUACUAUACUCGCGGGGGAAAUUGUUUAUAUUGUGGAAUUUCAUAUCAAACCGGUCAUCUACGUGUAAUUGAUGCAUGUUUCGAGUGGGAUCUCUAAACUAACAGAAUCCCAUACUGGUUUCUCUGUUCAUUUUUUAACUCUUUCAUAAUUCAUGUGGGAGAUUAAAACUUGAUUCUACUCUAUUAUAUAUUUUCAGAUUUUGCACAUCUUAAGCGUUAAUUGUCAGCUGUUAUUUAAGUUGGUCAAUAUAUUCAGAUUUCAUUUGGCAUUGUUGACUUAUUUGAAGCAGGACAGAAUGUUAAAAGAUGAAAUGGCUACAUCUCGGCUAGAUGAUUCUUAUUUCUCAUCUUCAACCUCACAAUCCAAUCGAGACGGUUUAUUUUUGGCCAGGUAAGGAAAUAUUUCAUUGAUCAUAGGCCAUAUUGUGAAUUUACUAUCAUUUCCUCUUGUGAUUCUAAAUCUUUGAUAGUUGUUAUCCCUAGCUAUUCCUGCAGCUCAACAUCCUAUUCUCUGUAAUUGCGGCAUAUGCUAUGCCUUCUGAUAGUCAAAGUUAAAAUAAAAAAGGAAGCAAAAUUACUGGUUUUAUCUUCUAGUGAUUUCUGAUAGUCGAAUUUGUUUGCCAAUAUCCAAAAUGUGAUUGUUCAGUUGCAUACUUUCCUCUGUCAUUUACUUCUAUGUCUAUCCUUGUGCAGGCCCUAUUGCAAAAUGCAACCGAGUCAAUGAAGGAGAGUAAGUUUACAAAUCUCAAGUACUCCAAAGUUGAAAUUGAUGAAGUGCAGUUCGAGUGGGCUGAAU